GACGAACGCUGGCGGCGUGCUUAACACAUGCAAGUCGAACGGAAAGGCCCUGCUUUUGUGGGGUGCUCGAGUGGCGAACGGGUGAGUAACACGUGAGUAACCUGCCCUUGACUUUGGGAUAACUUCAGGAAACUGGGGCUAAUACCGUAUAGGAGCUCCUGCUGCACGGUGGGGGUUGGAAAGUUUCGGCGGUUGGGGAUGGACUCGCGGCUUAUCAGCUUGUUGGUGGGGUAGUGGCUUACCAAGGCUUUGACGGGUAGCCGGCAUGGGCGGGUGACCGGCCACAUUGGGACUGAGAUACGGCCCAGAGUCCUACGGGCGGCAGCAGUGGCGAAUAUUGAACAGUGGGCGGAAGCCUGAUGCAGCAACGCCGCGUGCGGGAUAACGGCCUUCGGGUUGUAAACCGCUUUCGCCUGUGACGAAGCGUGAGUGACGGUAAUGGGUAAAGAAGCACCGGCUAACUACGUG
This 468-nucleotide ribosomal RNA is filed under the name uncultured bacterium. RNAcentral's name for it is "partial 16S ribosomal RNA". It matches the Rfam family "Bacterial small subunit ribosomal RNA", at positions 28 to 507 of the family's 1533-position model. The record is from RNAcentral.